GACGAACGCUGGCGGCGUGCUUAACACAUGCAAGUCGAACGAAGAGCGAUGGAAGCUUGCUUCUAUCAAUCUUAGUGGCGAACGGGUGAGUAACGCGUAAUCAACCUGCCCUUCAGAGGGGGACAACAGUUGGAAACGACUGCUAAUACCGCAUACGAUCUAAUCUCGGCAUCGAGGAUAGAUGAAAGGUGGCCUCUACAUGUAAGCUAUCACUGAAGGAGGGGAUUGCGUCUGAUUAGCUAGUUGGAGGGGUAACGGCCCACCAAGGCGAUGAUCAGUAGCCGGUCUGAGAGGAUGAACGGCCACAUUGGGACUGAGACACGGCCCAGACUCCUACGGGAGGCAGCAGUGGGGAAUCUUCCGCAAUGGACGAAAGUCUGACGGAGCAACGCCGCGUGAGUGAUGACGGCCUUCGGGUUGUAAAGCUCUGUUAAUCGGGACGAAAGGCCUUCUUGCGAAUAGUGAGAAGGAUUGACGGUACCGGAAUAGAUAGCCACGGCUAACUACGUG
RNAcentral lists this ribosomal RNA (510 nucleotides) under uncultured bacterium. RNAcentral's name for it is "partial 16S ribosomal RNA". It matches the Rfam family "Bacterial small subunit ribosomal RNA", at positions 28 to 507 of the family's 1533-position model. The record is from RNAcentral.